AUGGCUCCGCUGGGCGCUCCCUGCGUCGACCACGGGCGCCGGCCGAGGACCAGCCACAAGGUGAUCACCUCCACCCCGAAGAUGGAGCAACAGAUUUUCCUGCUGCAGCAGCACGCGGUGGUGGUCACCGCGGUGAGCAAGUUGCACGCGGCCAGUCCCCUCUCCAUCGGUCGAGCCAUCGAGCGGGAAUUCCAGAUCCCUGCGUACCUCCUCCGCAUCACCAGCCAUGAUCCGGAGGACUCCUUCAUCCACUUCACCAUGCCGGCCCACAAGGACCUCGUCGUUCGGCGGGGCUCGAUCGUGGUGGAUGGCGUCUCCUUCUUGCUGGAGCCAUGGAGGGAGGACACGCACGCCAUCCACGACACCUGGAUGCUGCAUGUUCGCGUCGUCAUGGAGAAGCUGCUGAUGCAGCUCUGGACCCUGGAGGGCGCGAAGGACGCGCUGGGCGACGUGGUCAUCAUCGACCGCCUCGACAACCGUACAUUCGAGUGCGCGGGCACGAAGCUGUUCGCCGUCUGGGUGUGGGUGUGGCAGUUGCACCACAUCCCCACCAUGCGAACCCUGUGGAAGCACGCUAGAGGUGCCGGCCGGGUGGAGGAGAUGGGCCGUCGUGCCGCCACCGAACCUGCUGCGCUAGGAUGUGCUGGUGCACAUUGA
This 657-nucleotide ribosomal RNA is filed under the name Triticum aestivum (bread wheat). RNAcentral describes it as "partial small subunit ribosomal RNA". The record is from RNAcentral. Lineage: Eukaryota; Viridiplantae; Streptophyta; Magnoliopsida; Poales; Poaceae.